RNAcentral lists this ribosomal RNA (253 nucleotides) under uncultured bacterium. RNAcentral's name for it is "partial 16S ribosomal RNA". It matches the Rfam family "Bacterial small subunit ribosomal RNA", at positions 524 to 776 of the family's 1533-position model. The record is from RNAcentral.
UACGUAGGGUGCAAGCGUUGUCCGGAAUUAUUGGGCGUAAAGAGCUCGUAGGCGGUCUGUCGCGUCGGCUGUGAAAACUCGGGGCUCAACUCCGAGCUUGCAGUCGAUACGGGCAGGCUAGAGUUCGGUAGGGGAGACUGGAAUUCCUGGUGUAGCGGUGAAAUGCGCAGAUAUCAGGAGGAACACCGGUGGCGAAGGCGGGUCUCUGGGCCGAUACUGACGCUGAGGAGCGAAAGCGUGGGGAGCGAACAGG